Molecule: small nucleolar RNA, 137 nt
Filed under: Ornithorhynchus anatinus (platypus)
Lineage: Eukaryota; Metazoa; Chordata; Mammalia; Monotremata; Ornithorhynchidae
Source: RNAcentral
CUCCUUCAGGACGGCAUCUGGAGAGUUUCCAGUACUCUAUCAGUCUCGUCUAUGGCAGGGAGAGUCAAGCAGAGGCCUACCCGUUCCAUUCCUAGCUUGGCCAGUGGCUAGCGAGUGGAAGGCCAUCUGCUACAAGU